RNAcentral lists this small nucleolar RNA (50 nucleotides) under Panthera pardus (leopard). Lineage: Eukaryota; Metazoa; Chordata; Mammalia; Carnivora; Felidae. The record is from RNAcentral.
UACCUGACUUAAAAAUGAUGAGUAAAACCAAAUCACCAUCUUUCGGCUGA